Molecule: long non-coding RNA, 723 nt
Filed under: Cyanistes caeruleus (blue tit)
Lineage: Eukaryota; Metazoa; Chordata; Aves; Passeriformes; Paridae
Description: lncRNA (ENSCCEG00000019596.1)
Source: RNAcentral
AUGCUUUCCGAGGCUGCCGAUGCUGGCGGAGCCGCCGCUCGCUGGGCUUGCCGGCUCCCUGUGCCUGCAUGCCGGAGCGCAGUUAUUAAUUUCUCCCUUCGCACAAGCCGGCGGCAGGCGCACGUCUCCAGGAAAGCAGGGAUAUUCCAAAUAAAUCCGCUAAUUCCGGGGCUGAGCCGUGCCCGCCCGCCUGCCAAACGGAACUGUGAAGCGAUGUGGAAAAGUGAGCCGGGAGCCUCCCCUGACAGCUCUUAUUGGGCCGAUCUCGGAGGCAGGUCUAGCGCUGGGAAAUUCGUGACCGGGACGUGCCCGGAGAGCCGGCGAGGAGGAGCCGCCGCUGUCCCCGUGCUUGGGGCGAUGGCCGGCGGGAGAGGGACGCGGGCUGGAUGCGGCAGCACCCCGAGGGGCCGAGGGCAGCCGCUCGUCUCCGAGGCACGGCGCUGCGGAGGGGGCCCGGGGACACGGAGGGCAUCCUUUGGAAGGGCUGUUCCCGAGGCCGGUCGGGCCCGGCGCUGCCUCGCUGGCCCCAGGGCAGCCGCAGCCGCAGCGGGAUGGAGGCAGCACCCGCAAGCUCGUCCCAUCCCGGACAGACAGACAGCACCGCCAGCGAGGGACAGACCACUGCCAUCCCCUGCCAUCCUUCCUCAUCCCCGGAGCCUUGCUCCUUCUCAGGGCUGGUCAUCUGAACCUCCUUCAGAGCCCCUGAAAACCUCUCCACCUUAA